This 534-nucleotide ribosomal RNA is filed under the name Acalles echinatus. RNAcentral's name for it is "partial 16S ribosomal RNA". It matches the Rfam family "Bacterial large subunit ribosomal RNA", at positions 1819 to 2625 of the family's 2925-position model. Lineage: Eukaryota; Metazoa; Arthropoda; Insecta; Coleoptera; Curculionidae. The record is from RNAcentral.
GGCUUUUUGAGUAUAAUUUAAGGUCGGACCUGCCCAAUGAUUAAUUAAAUGGCCGCGGUAUAUUGACCGUGCAAAGGUAGCAUAAUCAUUAGUUUUUUAAUUGAAAGCUUGUAUGAAGGGUUUAAUGAGAAAAAUACUGUCUCUAUUUAAAUUUAUUAGAAUUUUAUAUUUGAGUUAAAAAGCUUAAAUUUUUAUUGAAGACGAGAAGACCCUAUAGAGUUUUAUAUUUUACGUAGUAAUUAGAUAUUAAGAAUUUUAAAGGUUAUUAUGGGAAGUAUUUAAUUGGGGUGAUUGAAAAAUUAGUUUAACUUUUUUUGUAUUUUUACAUUGAUUAAUGAGUUUAUGAUCCUUUAGUUAAGAUUAAAAGAUACAAUUACCUUAGGGAUAACAGCGUAAUUUUUUUUAGAGUUCUUAUCGAAAGAAAAGAUUGCGACCUCGAUGUUGGAUUAAAAUGAAUUGUUGGUGAAGAAGCUGAUAAGUUGGGUCUGUUCGACCUUUAAAUUUUUACAUGAUCUGAGUUUAAACCGGUGUAAG